GGUUAAGCGACCAAGCGUACACGGUGGAUGCCCUGGCAGUCAGAGGCGAUGAAGGACGUGCUAAUCUGCGAAAAGCGCCGGCGAGGUGAUAUGAACCCUUGACCCGGCGAUGUCCGAAUGGGGAAACCCAGUGUGAUUCGUCACACUAUCGUUAGCUGAAUACAUAGGCUAACGAGGCGAACCGGGGGAACUGAAACAUCUAAGUACCCCGAGGAAAAGAAAUCAACCGAGAUUCCCCCAGUAGCGGCGAGCGAACGGGGAGGAGCCCAGAGCCUGAAUCAGCUUGUGUGUUAGUGGAAGCGUCUGGAAAGUCGCACGGUACAGGGUGAAAGUCCCGUACACGAAAACGCACAGGCUGUGAGCUCGAUGAGUAGGGCGGGACACGUGGUAUCCUGUCUGAAUAUGGGGGGACCAUCCUCCAAGGCUAAAUACUCCUGACUGACCGAUAGUGAACCAGUACCGUGAGGGAAAGGCGAAAAGAACCCCGGCGAGGGGAGUGAAAAAGAACCUGAAACCGUGUACGUACAAGCAGUGGGAGCCUCUUUUAUGGGGUGACUGCGUACCUUUUGUAUAAUGGGUCAGCGACUUAUAUUCUGUAGCAAGGUUAACCGUAUAGGGGAGCCGAAGGGAAACCGAGUCUUAACUGGGCGUUAAGUUGCAGGGUAUAGACCCGAAACCCGGUGAUCUAGCCAUGGGCAGGUUGAAGGUUGGGUAACACUAACUGGAGGACCGAACCGACUAAUGUUGAAAAAUUAGCGGAUGACCUGUGGCUGGGGGUGAAAGGCCAAUCAAACCGGGAGAUAGCUGGUUCUCCCCGAAAGCUAUUUAGGUAGCGCCUCGUGAAUUCAUCUCCGGGGGUAGAGCACUGUUUCGGCUAGGGGGCCAUCCCGGCUUACCAACCCGAUGCAAACUGCGAAUACCGGAGAAUGUUAUCACGGGAGACACACGGCGGGUGCUAACGUCCGUCGUGAAGAGGGAAACAACCCAGACCGCCAGCUAAGGUCCCAAAGUCAUGGUUAAGUGGGAAACGAUGUGGGAAGGCCCAGACAGCCAGGAUGUUGGCUUAGAAGCAGCCAUCAUUUAAAGAAAGCGUAAUAGCUCACUGGUCGAGUCGGCCUGCGCGGAAGAUGUAACGGGGCUAAACCAUGCACCGAAGCUGCGGCAGCGACGCUUAUGCGUUGUUGGGUAGGGGAGCGUUCUGUAAGCCGUUGAAGGUGUGCUGUGAGGCAUGCUGGAGGUAUCAGAAGUGCGAAUGCUGACAUAAGUAACGAUAAAGCGGGUGAAAAGCCCGCUCGCCGGAAGACCAAGGGUUCCUGUCCAACGUUAAUCGGGGCAGGGUGAGUCGACCCCUAAGGCGAGGCCGAAAGGCGUAGUCGAUGGGAAACAGGUUAAUAUUCCUGUACUUGGUGUUACUGCGAAGGGGGGACGGAGAAGGCUAUGUCGGCCGGGCGACGGUUGUCCCGGUUUAAGCAUGUAGGCGGAGGUUCCAGGUAAAUCCGGUACCUUAUUAAACGCUGAGGUGUGAUGACGAGGCACUACGGUGCUGAAGUGACAAAUGCCCUGCUUCCAGGAAAAGCCUCUAAGCAUCAGGUAACACGAAAUCGUACCCCAAACCGACACAGGUGGUCAGGUAGAGAAUACCAAGGCGCUUGAGAGAACUCGGGUGAAGGAACUAGGCAAAAUGGUGCCGUAACUUCGGGAGAAGGCACGCUGAUAUGUAGGUGAAGUGAUUUACUCAUGGAGCUGAAAUCAGUCGAAGAUACCAGCUGGCUGCAACUGUUUAUUAAAAACACAGCACUGUGCAAACACGAAAGUGGACGUAUACGGUGUGACGCCUGCCCGGUGCCGGAAGGUUAAUUGAUGGGGUUAUCCCUCGGGAGAAGCUCUUGAUCGAAGCCCCGGUAAACGGCGGCCGUAACUAUAACGGUCCUAAGGUAGCGAAAUUCCUUGUCGGGUAAGUUCCGACCUGCACGAAUGGCGUAAUGAUGGCCAGGCUGUCUCCACCCGAGACUCAGUGAAAUUGAACUCGCUGUGAAGAUGCAGUGUACCCGCGGCAAGACGGAAAGACCCCGUGAACCUUUACUAUAGCUUGACACUGAACACUGGUCCUUGAUGUGUAGGAUAGGUGGGAGGCUUUGAAGUGCGGACGCCAGUCUGCAUGGAGCCGCCCUUGAAAUACCACCCUUUAAUGGCUGGUGUUCUAACGUGGGCCCGUAAUCCGGGUUGCGGACAGUGUCUGGUGGGUAGUUUGACUGGGGCGGUCUCCUCCUAAAGAGUAACGGAGGAGCACGAAGGUCAGCUAAUCCUGGUCGGACAUCAGGAGGUUAGUGCAAUGGCAUAAGCUGGCUUGACUGCGAGCGUGACGGCGCGAGCAGGUGCGAAAGCAGGUCAUAGUGAUCCGGUGGUUCUGAAUGGAAGGGCCAUCGCUCAACGGAUAAAAGGUACUCCGGGGAUAACAGGCUGAUACCGCCCAAGAGUUCAUAUCGACGGCGGUGUUUGGCACCUCGAUGUCGGCUCAUCACAUCCUGGGGCUGAAGUAGGUCCCAAGGGUAUGGCUGUUCGCCAUUUAAAGUGGUACGCGAGCUGGGUUUAGAACGUCGUGAGACAGUUCGGUCCCUAUCUGCCGUGGGCGCUGGAGAACUGAGGGGGGCUGCUCCUAGUACGAGAGGACCGGAGUGGACGCAUCACUGGUGUUCGGGUUGUCAUGCCAAUGGCACUGCCCGGUAGCUAAAUGCGGAAGAGAUAAGUGCUGAAAGCAUCUAAGCACGAAACUUGCCCCGAGAUGAGUUCUCCCUGACUCCUUGAGAGUCCUGAAGGAACGUUGAAGACGACGACGUUGAUAGGCCGGGUGUGUAAGCGCAGCGAUGCGUUGAGCUAACCGGUACUAAUGAACCGUGAGGCUUAACCUU
RNAcentral lists this ribosomal RNA (2909 nucleotides) under Citrobacter koseri. RNAcentral describes it as "23S ribosomal RNA". It matches the Rfam family "Bacterial large subunit ribosomal RNA". Lineage: Bacteria; Pseudomonadati; Pseudomonadota; Gammaproteobacteria; Enterobacterales; Enterobacteriaceae. The record is from RNAcentral.